This is a long non-coding RNA of Cyprinus carpio carpio, 851 nucleotides long. The record is from Ensembl. Lineage: Eukaryota; Metazoa; Chordata; Actinopteri; Cypriniformes; Cyprinidae.
CUGAAUUCAGCUCUUGUUGUGUUCUAAUUGGUGGAUUGUGUGCAUUCGCGGUAAUAUUAUGUUUUAAAAAGCUCUUAAAACUAUAAAAAUGCUUUUAUUGUGAGCUCGUGGUCAGACUGCAGGCGCUGAUGCAGGUGAUUUCUCUCUGGUCCUUCUCACUGAUCUCUGGCCAGACAUCAAUUAUUAAUGAGAGCUGACCCGGUAAUAAUAACAUAUGUUGGUUCAGCUUGUCAGUGUGAAUGAAACGUGUAUUUAUUUGUCCGUUCUCGCCGAAAAACCAUCACCGUAAAAUCUCUCGCACUCAUAAACACUCAUUUUCAUCUCUAUAAUAUGUUCUUCUAAUUGUUUUGUGUUAAUUCGCCGCUGUGUUUUAAUGUAAAAGGCUGUAGUUUCUGUAUGUAGGCUUUUUUCCCUUCAAGUGUUCAGAAGUCUCGCGCUGUCAGACAGGCUGCAGCAAAUAUUUCAUUUUAACACUCACAAACAUCUGAAUUUAGCUCUUGGUGUGUUCUAAUUGGCGGAUUGUGUGCAAUCGCCGUAAUAUUUUAUUUUUAAAAGGUCUUAAACAAGAAUAAACUCGUUUGUUGUGAGCUCUUUGAGACAGCACGCGCUGUUCGGAGCGGUGAUUUCUCUCUCGUCUAUCUCUCUGUUCUCUGGCCAUACAUCAAUUAUUAAUGAGCCCUGACCCGCUAAUAAUAAGAUAUGUUGGUUUAGCUUGUCAGUGUGAAUCAAAUGUAUUUAUUUAUUUGUAUUUUUAACCGAUUUAAAAGUGAAACUAAGCGAGACUCCUCCCUCUCAGUCCCGGGAAUUGCUCCUGUAGAGGCGCAAUUUCUCUCAGACAAUGAAAGUCUCAG